UAUGCAUUUAGAACAAAACCUUUUCUUUUUGAACUUCCUAACGCUGCUUAUUUGUGAUGAUGAUAGUCUGACACCAGCGGUGGACAGUAAACCGAGUACAUUUACUCAUCUACUCUGCUCAAGUACGGGUUUAUGGAAAUCAGAAAGCAGACUGCGUCCUCAGCAGCUCAUGUGUAAUGGGAUCAUGUUGCUCAAGCAGAGCGACAUAUGACUGAAAACUUCCUGUAUGAGCAAGUCUGGUCAGUCACCUCAUGCGUCUUUUAAAGUCACCUAAAAAGAAGAUAACUGCAGUUGGAUUUGUCUGAUGAAUGAAUAUUGUCAGAAGGAGUGGAAGUAUUCACAAAAAGUAGCAAAAUAUAAAAAUGCCAAAGCUUUAUCAGCAAAAUGAAAAUUAGGUUUGACAUGAAUCGGAUGGUAUGCAAAUGACAGAACAUGCUUAUUGUUUCUGUUUUAAAAUAUUCACUUUCUUGGCACGAGUUUGAUGAGAAGAUCAACACCACCCUUAUGAGCUACUGCCAGCAGCGGUUAGCUUAGCUUAACACAAAGACUGGAAACAGGGGGAAACAGGUAGCCUAGCCCUGAAAGCAACAACAUCCAACUUAUAGCACAUCUAAAACUCAAUGUUUUAUAUUUACUUAGUUUAAUUUGUACAAAAAACAAGUUUUACGUGUAGUUUACAUGACAGGUUAGCUGUUUCCCACUGUUUCCAGUCAUUAAGCUAAGCUAAGCAUUGCUAAGCUAACUGGCUACGAGCACUUCUAAAGCUCACCAAUUAACACAUUAUAUCUCAUCAGCGCUGUUGACACAUGACCCCCAUACAACACGUUUAUAGGUGCUGUUAUGGACGUAUUUUGUUUACUUUGGACUGUGCCAGGCUGUUUCCCCUUGUUUACAGUCUUUGUGCUAAGCUAAGCUAACCUGCCGCUGGGUAGCUUUACAUUUGCCGUACAGAUACAGCAGUGGUGUUAAUGUCAAACUAUUCCUUUAAAUGUCUUUAUUUAUAGCCUGUGUGAAAUUAAGAUACAGUCCAUCGUAAGGCCUCUGGUAACACGUUUGUGCAUUUAAAGGAUUUCCUGCUGUCUGUAAUUUGAUGAAUAUUCGGUGUAUCUUCAUUGGAGUACUGUGUGAACAUUACAUUCCUCAGAUUAGCACGCUGCUCAGUCAACACAACAAAAAGGUUAUCAGCGGCUGGUCUUCCCAUCCAGACACAAAGGUUAACAGACCCAAACUGAUGAACACGUCCCCAAACUGGGGUCACUAUCACCACGUUGUUUUUUAAAUAACAGCCUCAAUUGUUUGUUAACAUUAUUGAUCCAGGAGGUAUUGGAUUAUAUGAUACAACAACACUAAAGGUAGCCCCGCUAGCAGUCCUGUCAGGCUGUAAUACUCAUUACAAAACAGAAAGAUUCUACAGCACUAGAGGGGUAAAAAUGUAACGUAAUGCAGUUUAACACUGUGUUCUUAAAAGAUGACGAAGAUCAUGUGGUUAGAUUAAAAGUGCAGGAAUAGCUAGGCCCUAUUAAGGACAUUGUGGUGAGAUUAAGUUCUCAACUGUUGUUUUCAAGAUCAACAAUAAUGUUUGUCAUAUUUCAAAAGCCGAUGAAGAUCAUGUGAUGUGAUUGAAAGCUCCAGAACAGCUCCCUUGCUGUAUUUUCUCGACAAUCCUAUAUUCAGUUUAUCAGGCUUUGUUAUCAGCUGGACUAGUAACAGGUAGUAAAACCAUGAUUAGAGCUUAGACUUUAAACAUAUGAAAAUAUGUCAGUGUAAAUAUUAACAGUAAGGAAAUGUAUGUAAGGUAAUUACUGGUAAAAGUCUCUUCUUGUGUUGUCAACAAAGUUCCUCACAGGUGCACAGAGAAGAAUGAACCUCAACCUGUUCGUCUAUACACUGACAAUUAUUUGCGUCCCCUCGUGUUGUGACAGAAGUUUGAUGAAUGUAUUCAUGGUAUGUACUGUACAUGUACUUGGAUGUUUUUGUUGUAGACCUGGAAGAAGCAAUGAAUAAGAGAACAUGUUAGAGCUUUUAGUUACAUGCUGUUGUUAAUGAUCGAUUAUUUAUUGAUCCUUUAUGCUGGUGUUUGUGUAAUGUAGUCUGCUCUAUUGACUAUGCUGUAUAUCUUCAUUUUUUACUGUAUCUGUGGACUGCUAUUUAUGUUUGUAGGCAGAACUGAUUCCAACAGAUGUUUGAGCUUGUGCUCACACUGAAACUGUUAUUUUAAGGCACAGCUUGAAAAUGAAUGCAUUGUCUUGAUGAUUAAAAGUUCAAGCUGUGUUUUCUGAGACAAACUUCCAAGGAUUUAGCAACAAACUUGUUUUCAGAAGUUAGUUGAGGCUACUGUCUUUAGAUUUUGAUAUAUUCAUUUAGGUAUUUAUGAACUUAUUUCAGUUGAAAAUGCAUCCAAACAACAAAUGUUAAAUGUGGAAUCAACUACAGGUCACUUUGAUGGUGAAGACACCAGACAUACAGUGUAUUUGAUUCGAAUUAACCCAAUUCACCAAGUUCAUGUUUAGCAAAAUAAGAACCACGUGAUUUAAACAUCAUGAGUUGCGCUCCAUUAAUCUCUCUCUGUACAAAUAUCUUUGAAUGACAGUCAACACGUGAGCAGUUGGGAACAAGUUAAGACAAAUGCAGAGUGCUUCAGGCAGCAGUAGGUCAUGUGAGUGUGUGGGUGGUUGGUCCCUGCAGCUCUGCAGCUCCACAAUGAGCCCAGAGACGUGUGAAUAACAACCUGGAAUCUGGUAGAGGACAAACACCCAAAAGACAUUAUUCUGUCCCUGAUUUAUCAGAGAUUGAAUUGGUGAGGCCGUCCUUUAAACUAACACUGGUGUAUAACGUUUUAAUCUUAUCUUGGUUAAGUUAAUAAGUCAGAAGGAUUAGUAGCUUUCUGCUAUACAUCACACAGUCUGAAGAUUUAGUGCCAUGCAGGUAUCACACCAAAAAAAGAUCUGCAUCUUUUGGUGCUUUUAAAAAUCCUGCUUUGUGUCUUUUCUCUCUCUUUGACUUGAUUUCAGGUAAGAUUCUCAGGAUUACUCAGACCCUGCUUCAUGUUUACUUGAUAAUUGAACCCAAACAUAUGAACGCAGUUUACUGGAUCUGAAAAAGUACAAAACAACAAAAAGAAAAAUCACAGAGAAAUAUUAUUUCUUAAAUAAUUAACAAAUCUAUGUUGGUAGAUAAGAUACAUUCACCCGUUUCCGACAAUCCUGAUUCAAGAUAAUGACACUGAUUUGUAUAAAAUAAACUAAAAAAUACAAACUGCA
Long non-coding RNA from Dicentrarchus labrax (European seabass), 3260 nucleotides. RefSeq lists it as uncharacterized. Lineage: Eukaryota; Metazoa; Chordata; Actinopteri; Moronidae. The transcript is spliced from 2 exons. The record is from RefSeq and is a predicted model, not a curated record.